ACAACUUUCAACAACGGAUCUCUUGGCUCUCCCAUCGAUGAAAAACGCAGCGAAAUGCGAUAAGUAAUGUGAAUUGCAGAAUUCAGUGAAUCAUCGAAUCUUUGAACGCACCUUGCGCCCUUUGGUAUUCCGAAGGGCAUGCCUGUUUGAGUGUCAUUAA
RNAcentral lists this ribosomal RNA (160 nucleotides) under Panellus stipticus. Its description in RNAcentral is "5.8S ribosomal RNA". It matches the Rfam family "5.8S ribosomal RNA". From Rfam's summary of the family: 5.8S ribosomal RNA (5.8S rRNA) is a component of the large subunit of the eukaryotic ribosome. Lineage: Eukaryota; Fungi; Basidiomycota; Agaricomycetes; Agaricales; Mycenaceae. The record is from RNAcentral.